GACGAACGCUGGCGGCGCGCCUAACACAUGCAAGUCGAACGAGCGAGCGAGAGCUUGCUUUCUUGAGCGAGCGGCGAACGGGUGAGUAACGCGUGAGGAACCUGCCUCAAAGAGGGGGACAACAGUUGGAAACGACUGCUAAUACCGCAUAAGCCCACGACCCGGCAUCGGGUUGAGGGAAAAGGAGCAAUCCGCUUUGAGAUGGCCUCGCGUCCGAUUAGCUAGUUGGUGAGGUAACGGCCCACCAAGGCGACGAUCGGUAGCCGGACUGAGAGGUUGAACGGCCACAUUGGGACUGAGACACGGCCCAGACUCCUACGGGAGGCAGCAGUGGGGAAUAUUGCACAAUGGGGGAAACCCUGAUGCAGCGACGCCGCGUGGAGGAAGAAGGUCUUCGGAUUGUAAACUCCUGUUGUUGAGGAAGAUAAUGACGGUACUCAACAAGGAAGUGACGGCUAACUACGUG
This 466-nucleotide ribosomal RNA is filed under the name uncultured bacterium. RNAcentral describes it as "partial 16S ribosomal RNA". It matches the Rfam family "Bacterial small subunit ribosomal RNA", at positions 28 to 507 of the family's 1533-position model. The record is from RNAcentral.